CCUACGGGAGGCAGCAGUGGGGAAUAUUGCACAAUGGGGGAAACCCUGAUGCAGCGACGCCGCGUGAGUGAAGAAGUAUUUCGGUAUGUAAAGCUCUAUCAGCAGGGAAGAAAAUGACGGUACCUGAUUAAGAAGCCCCGGCUAACUACGUGCCAGCAGCCGCGGUAAUACGUAGGGGGCAAGCGUUAUCCGGAUUUACUGGGUGUAAAGGGAGCGUAGACGGCAGCACAAGUCUGGAGUGAAAUGCCGGGGCUUAACCCCGGAACUGCUUUGGAAACUGUGCAGCUAGAGUGCAGGAGAGGUAAGUGGAAUUCCUGGUGUAGCAGUGAAAUGCGUAGAUAUUAGGAGGAACACCAGUGGCGAAGGCGGCUUACUGGACUGUAACUGACGUUGAGGCACGAAGGCGUGGGGAGCGAACAGGAUUAGAUACCCCUGUAGUC
RNAcentral lists this ribosomal RNA (440 nucleotides) under uncultured bacterium. Its description in RNAcentral is "partial 16S ribosomal RNA". It matches the Rfam family "Bacterial small subunit ribosomal RNA", at positions 338 to 795 of the family's 1533-position model. The record is from RNAcentral.